RNAcentral lists this ribosomal RNA (253 nucleotides) under uncultured bacterium. RNAcentral's name for it is "partial 16S ribosomal RNA". It matches the Rfam family "Bacterial small subunit ribosomal RNA", at positions 524 to 776 of the family's 1533-position model. The record is from RNAcentral.
UACGUAGGUGACCAGCGUUGUCCGGAUUUACUGGGCGUAAAGAGCGCGCAGGCGGUCGUUCAAGUCGAGUGUGAAAGCCCCCGGCUCAACUGGGGAGGGUCAUUCGAUACUGAUCGACUUGAAGGCAGGAGAGGGAAGUGGAAUUCCCGGUGUAGUGGUGAAAUUCGUAGAUAUGGGGAGGAACACCGGUGGCGAAGGCGGCCAUCUGGACGGAUACUGACGCUGAGACGCGAAAGCGUGGGGAGCAAACAGG